This 219-nucleotide long non-coding RNA is filed under the name Sorghum bicolor (sorghum). Its description in RNAcentral is "long non-coding RNA (SBIC_LNC011935)". The record is from RNAcentral. Lineage: Eukaryota; Viridiplantae; Streptophyta; Magnoliopsida; Poales; Poaceae.
AAGGCAGUGCUUGUCAUCAGUGGAGCAAACUCAAGAAAAGCAGGCCGGCAUUUCUGCCUACUUGCCCAAACUGAAUCUGCUCAUGUUUUUCAUGCUACAAAAAAGAUGACUACUAGUACUACAUUCUACUGUAAAGAGCUGAGGAGAGCUAGUAAUGCAAAGCUAGCAGUACAACUUUUUGGGCCUUCUAGGUGCUAUGCAUGCAUUUGUUUUUGAGGU